RNAcentral lists this non-coding RNA (70 nucleotides) under Christensenella timonensis. RNAcentral describes it as "Cyclic di-GMP-I riboswitch". It matches the Rfam family "c-di-GMP-I riboswitch aptamer", at positions 12 to 83 of the family's 87-position model. From Rfam's summary of the family: GEMM was predicted in a large-scale screen for bacterial structured RNA regulatory elements. Genes associated with GEMM are involved in a diverse array of functions, including chemotaxis regulation, signal transduction, secretion and chitin. Lineage: Bacteria; Bacillati; Bacillota; Clostridia; Christensenellales; Christensenellaceae. The record is from RNAcentral.
AGCAAACCUGCCGAAAGGCAGGGACGCAAAGCCACGGAUCUAAGCGUUUUCGUAGGAUGGCCGGGUUGCA